Molecule: ribosomal RNA, 424 nt
Filed under: uncultured bacterium
Lineage: Bacteria
Description: partial 16S ribosomal RNA
Rfam family: Bacterial small subunit ribosomal RNA
Source: RNAcentral
GAAUAUUGGACAAUGGGGGGAACCCUGAUCCAGCCAUGCCGCGUGUGUGAAGAAGGCCUUUUGGUUGUAAAGCACUUUAAGCGAGGAGGAGGCUACCUGGAUUAAUCCUUUAGGAUCGUGGACGUUACUCGCAGAAUAAGCACAGGCUAACGCUGGGCCAGAAGCCGCGGUAAUACAGAGGGUGCGAGCGUUAAUCGGAUUUACUGGGCGUAAAGCGUGCGUAGGCGGCCAAUUAAGUCAAAUGUAAAAUCCCCGAGCUUAACUUGGGAAUUGCAUUCGAUACUGGUUGGCUAGAGUAUGGGAGAGGAUGGUAGAAUUCCAGGUGUAGCGGUGAAAUGCGUAGAGAUCUGGAGGAAUACCGAUGGCGAAGGCAGCCAUCUGGCCUAAUACUGACUCUGAGGUACGAAAGCAUGGGGAGCAAACA